GGGUUGUGCGAAUAGGAUAGGAGGAAGCAAUUGUAUGGUUAAGAAUAGGAAAGAAGAAAAGAAAGGUGACGAAUGAGGCGGUGGAAGAGAAAUGGCAGUGGGGUUGAGAAACCUGAGAUGGAUGAGUUUGGUAUUGGGAGUAUUGAACAUCUUGGUGGUGCUGAUGGGUGCCUUCCUCAUUUUCCGAACUCACCGCUUCUGCGAUCGCCGCUUCUUGCACCCUUUCCUCGCUGUUUCUGUCACCGCUCUUCUUAGGGUUCUUGUCAUGUUUCAUUCCGCCAUUGCACAAGAAGCCGCUGCCACCCUCAUUCUUGACGACUCCAACGACCUACUCACGCGCCUUCAAAGACGGGCCAGGUAUAAGAAAUGGCUCUGGUGGAGUCGCUGUUCCGCGGUCGUUAUAGUGCUCCAGUUUUGCUCUGCAACUUUCCUUGUACUCAAGUCUGCUGACUAUUUCUCUACACACGGUUGUCUUUUAGGUAGAAUCCAAAUGGGACCACGACUUACUGUUUUUCUUCAUGAUCCUCGUCUCUUUCCUUGCUAUUAUGCAGUGCUUUGCCGGCUCUGAUGUUCUCAAAUGGAGAUCUUUCUAUGAAACCCAUGAUAAUGCUUGGAAAUGCCAUUAUAGUGAGGUCUUUGACAAUGGCAUACGCGAGACCUUAUGUUGUCUUGGCCGCGUCAAAUACUUGCGUGCAUUGGAAGAAGAUGAAGUCUAUUCGGUUGCACGAUUAUUAGGCGAUCUUGUUGCUUAUCGUGCUUCUGGAACUGGCCACAUGGAACUCUUGGCAGCUUUAGCUUUGCUUCAAAGCCAUGGGAAAUCUUCAGAAUCCUAUGAAGAAUCCAUUGAACUGCCAGAGAUGCAAAUUAGGGAGGCUGCAGCUCUUCAUAAAUUUGCUGAAGCUGCAUACACAGGCCCCUUACUUGAUGUUGGACGAAAUCCCUUUAUCUUUCCUUGUGCAUGGCUGUAUAGACAAGGGAUUCUGUCUCCUUGGACACGCAAUAGACGACCUGCAUUGGAUGGUGACAACUGGUGGCGAGGUCAUGCUGCGGCCUUUCUAAAUUAUGUCGAUUUGCCUCCAGAAGUGCUCAGACAUGGGCGAGUCAGCCAGGUGAAAGGAUUUAAAUACCCAAAUCUGGUCUACAAUGCUUUGGUUUCUUCAAGGGGCUAAUUUACUGUGUAAUGUAAACCGACUAACUGCUGCCUUUUUUAUUUGGCUAAUCAGUAUAGGUGUCCGAAUAUUUUAAUUCCAUUUGAUAGUUAAUUUUAAAAGUGGGGAAACUCAGAUCUUUUCUACUGGAGAUGAUAAUAAACAUGAUUUGUGCAUGAUAUUAUGAAUAUUUCAGUUUUUAUAUUAUACUGGCCAAUUUUAUAUGCAGUUAAAGGGCUUGUUUUUUGUUUGAUACUCAUGCCAGGUCAAGUGUCAAGCUGCAUAUUUUAUCGUGGUUCUACAUCAUCUACAAUCUGUAGUAAUUGCUAUACGUGGAACUGAAACUCCAGAGGACCUAAUAACUGAUGGGUUAUGCAAGGAAUGCACCCUUUCUGCAGAUGAUUUGGCUGGCUUGAUUAACUGCAACUACAUUCCUUCUGAUAUAAAGAAAAAGGUAACUUCAACAUUCCCCCACUAUGGGCAUUCAGGCAUAGUUGAGGCUUCACGAGAGCUUUUUAUGCAGAUUGAAGGAAAUCCUGAAGAACCUGACUCGGAAUCAUAUGGGCUUCUUUCUAAUUUACUGGGAUUUGGUUGUGAAUGCUUUGGGUAUAAUGUCCGUAUAGUGGGGCAUUCACUUGGGGGUGCUAUAGCUGCAUUGCUUGGACUGCAAGUACGGUAUUUCUUCCUUAAAAAGGAUUAUUUUCUAAUUUUGCUUCUUUAGUAAACACGACUUCCAUAUUUUGAUUGCAUCUAGAACUAGGUACUGAUUAAAAGGCUAUUCUGAAAAAAUUGUAUACAGAGAACAAAUAAUCCCUGCUUCCUUAGAAAAUGCAGAAUACAUGAGAGACUUGACUCAACAAAAUAUAUAUGCAUCUCAAUUGUAUUAGGUUUGUAACUUCUGAGCCAAAAAUCUAGGGUGAAACCUAUAAAUCAGGUGCAACUUAUAAGUCAAAUAUUAUAUGCAGCAUACAACUAUACUUUCAGCAUUUAAAGAGAGAACUUUUUCAUAUAAGUUCAAUGCUUACUUUUUCAUCACUGAAAUUUAACACGGUUACGGAAGUGAUUUUGGACAUCAUUUUCCUGCCUUUUUUUGGUUUGUUUACAUCCUACAUAGCAUUUUAAGCAUGUGAUUUUAUUUUUAAAUAAAUUGCUGAGCUUUUCCACAGCUUUAUAACCGCUACCCUAAUCUGCAUGUUUACUCAUAUGGGCCACUCCCAUGUCUGGAUUUAGUUGUGGCAAAUGCAUGUUCAGAAUUUGUAACAAGGUAAUUGUACUAGUAAAAUUUUUUAUUGUGGUUGAUGCUCUGUUGGUAACAUUUUCAGUUUCCUUUCUGUUUGCUUUCAUUCUUUAUGAUGCAGUAUUAUAUUUGGAAAUGAAUUUUCAUCACGUCUUUCAAUUGGAUCUGUUAUGCGACUAAGGGCAGCUGCAAUCACAUCACUAUCACAAGAUCCUAAAACAGAUAGUGCCAUGAUCUUCAGACUUGCUCGUCGGUUUCUAUAUUUAAGCAAAUAUCAGAGGAAUAAGCCCGAGGCCUCAGGGACCAUUGUCCCGGAAGAUCUGAACCAUCAAAUCUGUGGAAGCCAUUGUGAGGCUGAUAAUAAAGGAAGCAACAAACAAGAGGUUCCAGAAGUUCCUCUCUGGGCUGAGACUCAGUCCAUUAAAAGGGAUCUUCUUGUUCCAGCUAACUGUGGUGAAUAUAUGAACCCUUUUGAUGAUAGUGAAGAUUGCCUCAAUAACAAGCAUGAAGAAUUUUCGCUCUGGUCUGACACUAGGGCAAGGGACCAUAUUGUUGAAAUUGAUAAUGCUGAAUUUACAAAUCCUUUUGCUAUAGAUGCACGCUCAAUUGAUGAUCCUGUGUCUCAGUUCAUAGAUACUGUUCCAAAUUCUGAAAAUCCAUCUGCUGAUGAUCCCCCGGAGAUGUAUCUGCCAGGACUUGUAAUCCAUGUUGUACCAGAGCAGAAAAGCCCUCAGCCUCAAACUGAUCUUCAGACGUCAUGGAGAAUGCAGGAGAGAAGAAAAUGUUAUAGAGCUUACUUAGCAAAUAGAGAAAGCUUCAAAGAUAUUAUUGUUUCACCAUCCAUGUUCCUUGACCAUCUCCCUUGGAGAUGUCAUGAUGCCUUGCAGAAGAUAUUAAAAGCUCAAUUUGCUAAUGAUCAAGUUGGACAAGUUUAGUGCGUAUUUUGGCAUUGAACGUGACAUGAACUGUGGAUUAAUUUUUUUUGUGAGAUGAGGAACUAUGACAAAGAAUGAUCCUUUUGAGUUUUGACUUGUUCCCUCUCCUAUGAAGAGUGUAUUACCAUUAAUAUACACUAAGGUGAGAAUAUUUUAUUAUCAUAAGAAAUGAGAACAGUAAAUAUAAAUCAUUAGAUAAUAUUUGAAUGAUUAAGAU
RNA transcript from Abrus precatorius (Indian licorice), 3537 nucleotides. RefSeq lists it as uncharacterized. NCBI's taxonomy places the organism in Eukaryota, Viridiplantae, Streptophyta, Magnoliopsida, Fabales, Fabaceae. The record is from RefSeq and is a predicted model, not a curated record. The transcript has 11 exons.